GAAAGUGGGGAAAAGGAAAGAUUAAUGGAGCUUUUGAGGGAAAGGCUUGUUGAGUCUGGGUGGAAGGAUGAAAUGAAAGCUCUUUGUAGGGAGUAUAUAAAGAAGAAAGGACGGAACAAUAUAACCAUUGACGACCUUGUACAUGUGAUUACCCCAAAAGGCAGAGCUUCAAUUCCUGAUCCGAUCAAAGCUGAGCUGCUUCAGAGAAUUCGUACAUUUCUUGUUUCUCCCACUCUCUGAUUCAACAGUUUCAUGCAUGAAGAGGGUAGCAAUAUAGGUGAAGAUGUGGCAUUAUGUUUGACUCAUUUCAUCUUGGAACAUCGUUUGUCUAGAUUAUGACCACGAUGAGGAAACCAGGAGCCAUAUGAGAAGAUGUGCUAUCGGCAGUUUGCUUGUACCAAGUUUCGUAGAACUGUAUAAAUUGCUACUUGGUGGUUUUAUGUUGAUGGCCCAGGUUCAGAGUUUGAUCACUACAUGACCCUCACCUUUUAGUGGCUAAACUAUCUGUUAUCUGGUUGUCCCUAGUUUUAAGAAAGUGUAGUUUUAUUGAGAUGCCUGCUCCUCAGCAGAAUCCCUGCUCUUCUUUUGUGUGUACUUUACUCAUGUGUUCUUCGUAUUAGUGAAAGCCAG
RNAcentral lists this unclassified non-coding RNA (630 nucleotides) under Hevea brasiliensis (rubber tree). Lineage: Eukaryota; Viridiplantae; Streptophyta; Magnoliopsida; Malpighiales; Euphorbiaceae. The record is from RNAcentral.